Molecule: non-coding RNA, 725 nt
Organism: Phasianus colchicus (ring-necked pheasant)
Lineage: Eukaryota; Metazoa; Chordata; Aves; Galliformes; Phasianidae
Source: RefSeq, a predicted model, not a curated record
GGGCUGACUGCCUCUGAGGAAGGAUCUCUAUUUGGAGAUUGCUCUUUUUGAAGUUUUUUUUGCAAGCCCAGGAUGUAGGGUUUCCUCUACAGAUGAAUGACUCGGAUCACUCUCUAUUUCACCAUUCGUUUCAAGGAUGCAUGCAGUUUAUUCAUGUGGAUGAUCAGCUGGUAGAUUUGCAAGCAGUGGAGCAGGGCCAGCUGGGAAGCUUUGCCAAUGUCAGCAUUGACAUGUGUGCCAUUAUUGACAGACCUCUCCCCCAUUUGCUUGGAGGAAAAAAAAACCAUGAAGUUGGGAAUGAUGGAAAUUUUCAUGAUUAACCAGAAUGGAUAGGGGACAAUUUUAUCUAAUAUAUGAUGAAAGGUACUCAGCGUGAUGAGUUCUUGUGCUGCAUCAGUCUGGAGGUAACUGAUCCUGAAGACGCAAAUUCUCCCAGCUCAAUAUGGAAAAGAUUUCUGCAUUUCAGUUUUCUGUUUAAGAUGCAGGAAGAAUGGUUACAUUAGUGUUGCGCUUAUACUUGGGAAAGAGAGAUGCUGAUCAAAUGUUUUCUUUUAUUAUUAUUAUUAUUAUUUUUAGUCCUCUCCCCUCAGAUGCUUUGCUAUUACAUCUAGACUUGCAGACUGAGGUCUUACUAACAGGGAACAUUGAUGCUAAAGGGCAUUUUCUUUUUACCACUGGCCAAACUGUACAAGUGCUGUGUGUGUGUAUACAUAUAUAUAGUUAGU